CCUACGGGGGGCAGCAGUGGGGAAUAUUGGACAAUGGGGGGAACCCUGAUCCAGCCAUGCCGCGUGUGUGAAGAAGGCCCUCGGGUUGUAAAGCACUUUCAGUGAGGAAGAACACCUGGUGGUUAAUACCCAUCAGGAAAGACAUCACUCACAGAAGAAGCACCGGCUAACUCCGUGCCAGCAGCCGCGGUAAUACGGAGGGUGCGAGCGUUAAUCGGAAUUACUGGGCGUAAAGCGCGCGUAGGUGGCUUGAUAAGCCGGUUGUGAAAGCCCCGGGCUCAACCUGGGAACGGCAUCCGGAACUGUCAAGCUAGAGUGCAGGAGAGGAAGGUAGAAUUCCCGGUGUAGCGGUGAAAUGCGUAGAGAUCGGGAGGAAUACCAGUGGCGAAGGCGGCCUUCUGGACUGACACUGACACUGAGGUGCGAAAGCGUGGGUAGCAAACAGGAUUAGAUACCCGUGUAGUC
RNAcentral lists this ribosomal RNA (465 nucleotides) under Vreelandella stevensii. Its description in RNAcentral is "partial 16S ribosomal RNA". It matches the Rfam family "Bacterial small subunit ribosomal RNA", at positions 338 to 795 of the family's 1533-position model. Lineage: Bacteria; Pseudomonadati; Pseudomonadota; Gammaproteobacteria; Oceanospirillales; Halomonadaceae. The record is from RNAcentral.